This 302-nucleotide ribosomal RNA is filed under the name uncultured bacterium. Its description in RNAcentral is "bacterial SSU rRNA". It matches the Rfam family "Bacterial small subunit ribosomal RNA", at positions 775 to 1067 of the family's 1533-position model. The record is from RNAcentral.
GGAUUAGAUACCCUGGUAGUCCACGCCGUAAACGAUGAGUGCUAGAUGUCUCGGGUAUUGACCCCUGAGGUGUCGUAGCUAACGCGUUAAGCACUCCGCCUGGGAACUACGGCCGCAAGGCUAAAACUCAAAGGAAUUGACGGGGGCUCACACAACCGGUGGAGGAUGUUGCUUAAUUCGAAGCAACGCGAAGAACCUUACCCGGCCUUGACAUGUACGUGGUACUGAACCGAAAGGGGACGGACCCUGGCUUUGCCAGGGAGCGUACACAGGUGUUGCAUGGCUGUCGUCAGCUCGUGUUG